GCAUUGGUGGUUCAAUGGUAGAAUUCUCGCCUGCCACGCGGGAGAUCCGGGUUCGAUUCCCGGCCAAUGCA
RNAcentral lists this transfer RNA (71 nucleotides) under Acanthochromis polyacanthus (spiny chromis). It matches the Rfam family "tRNA". Rfam says of the family: Transfer RNA (tRNA) molecules are approximately 80 nucleotides in length. Their secondary structure includes four short double-helical elements and three loops (D, anti-codon, and T loops). Further hydrogen bonds mediate the characteristic L-shaped molecular structure. tRNAs have two regions of fundamental functional importance: the anti-codon, which is responsible for specific mRNA codon recognition, and the 3' end, to which the tRNAs corresponding amino acid is attached (by aminoacyl-tRNA synthetases). tRNAs cope with the degeneracy of the genetic code in two manners: having more than one tRNA (with a specific anti-codon) for a particular amino acid; and 'wobble' base-pairing, i.e. permitting non-standard base-pairing at the 3rd anti-codon position. The record is from Rfam by way of RNAcentral. RNAcentral also lists the same sequence under 1 other name. Lineage: Eukaryota; Metazoa; Chordata; Actinopteri; Pomacentridae.